UGUGGAUUGACCUAAAGUGAAAGAUUUUGGAGAACUCACUGGGGCUACCUGGGGGUCUCGGACAAAGGCCCGCCCAGGCUGGGGCGGGAAGAGACCUCGCUACCCUUCUGUUGUGUCCCCGCAGACCUGUAGUCAGAAGAGUCCGCCUGGGAGGAAUCGAGCCUGGGAGAUCGCUCGGGAGGGUCUGGAGAGCGGCGCUGGCUGGAUGCUGUUCGGGCCCAUUAGAUCAAGCGAGCCCAGUGCCUCCAGUAGCAGGAGUUUGGCAGGUUGGUGCACAGCGAUUGCUGUGAUAAAGUUCUGAUGACUGCGCCAGGGUCUGGGGGUGCACACUGGCUUCUGGAGGGUGCUGGUCUUGGAUCUCGUCCCUGCUUAACAGUAUGUGACUUGGGAGAGGAUCCUGGAUGACCAUCUUUCUUCUGAUGGCGAUAGGCUGGAUGCUAGGAUAAAAUCCUGCCCAGACACCUCCCCCAACUCUAGUCCUUAGCCUUUAGUUUAGUUGCCUGGGGCCAAGGGUAGGGUGGAGGAAGAUUUAAGGAGAGGAAGUAGUCUGUCCUCUUGUUAGGGACCAGAGUGGUUGAGGGUGAAGAUGGAAUCCAUGUGUGACCCAACUACUAUCUGGUUAGGAGUGUGACCACUGAGCCUUGGGCAGUGCUUCUUCAUCCCACCUUCCCUUCCCAUCUCUGGAACUCUUCCAAUGGUGGGAUUGGGCAGCUCAAUAUGGUAAGGGGCAGGGCAGAGGGUAUGGCCAAUAAACAGCAGGGAACUUUC
Long non-coding RNA from Balaenoptera acutorostrata (minke whale), 768 nucleotides. RefSeq lists it as uncharacterized. The transcript has 3 exons. NCBI's taxonomy places the organism in Eukaryota, Metazoa, Chordata, Mammalia, Artiodactyla, Balaenopteridae. The record is from RefSeq and is a predicted model, not a curated record.